AGGACGAACGCUGGCGGCGUGCUUAACACAUGCAAGUGGAGCGACGAACCAGGGCUUGCCCUGGGGCAGAGCCGCGAACGGGUGAGUAACACGUGGGUAACGUGCCCCAAUGACUGGGACAACCCGGGGAAACCCGGGCUAAUACCGGAUAUGCCCCCCGCCAUCAGGCGGGUGUGUAAAGGAAGCUUCGGCCUCCGCAUUGGGAUCGGCCCGCGGCGCAUUAGCUUGUUGGUGAGGUAACGGCUCACCAAGGCAACGAUGCGUAGCUGGUCUGAGAGGACGAUCAGCCACACUGGGACUGAGACACGGCCCAGACUCCUACGGGAGGCAGCAGUGAGGAAUUUUCCGCAAUGGGCGAAAGCCUGACGGAGCGACGCCGCGUGUGGGAAGAAGGCCUUCGGGUCGUAAACCACUGUCGAAGGGGAAGAUAUUGACGGUACCCUUGGAGGAAGCCCCGGCUAACUACGUGCCAGCAGCCGC
RNAcentral lists this ribosomal RNA (480 nucleotides) under uncultured bacterium. Its description in RNAcentral is "SSU rRNA". It matches the Rfam family "Bacterial small subunit ribosomal RNA", at positions 26 to 518 of the family's 1533-position model. The record is from RNAcentral.